RNAcentral lists this ribosomal RNA (253 nucleotides) under uncultured bacterium. RNAcentral describes it as "partial 16S ribosomal RNA". It matches the Rfam family "Bacterial small subunit ribosomal RNA", at positions 524 to 776 of the family's 1533-position model. The record is from RNAcentral.
UACGUAGGGUGCGAGCGUUGUCCGGAAUUAUUGGGCGUAAAGAGCUCGUAGGCGGUUCGUCGCGUCGAAUGUGAAAACCCGGGGCUCAACUCCGGGCCUGCAUUCGAUACGGGCGGACUAGAGUUCGGUAGGGGAGACUGGAAUUCCUGGUGUAGCGGUGAAAUGCGCAGAUAUCGGGAGGAACACCAAUGGCGAAGGCAGCUCGCUGGGACGUUACUGACGCUGAGACGCGAAAGCGUGGGGAGCAAACAGG